Molecule: transfer RNA, 72 nt
Filed under: archaeon
Lineage: Archaea
Also listed under: 1 other name
Description: tRNA-Arg
Rfam family: tRNA
About the family: Transfer RNA (tRNA) molecules are approximately 80 nucleotides in length. Their secondary structure includes four short double-helical elements and three loops (D, anti-codon, and T loops). Further hydrogen bonds mediate the characteristic L-shaped molecular structure. tRNAs have two regions of fundamental functional importance: the anti-codon, which is responsible for specific mRNA codon recognition, and the 3' end, to which the tRNAs corresponding amino acid is attached (by aminoacyl-tRNA synthetases). tRNAs cope with the degeneracy of the genetic code in two manners: having more than one tRNA (with a specific anti-codon) for a particular amino acid; and 'wobble' base-pairing, i.e. permitting non-standard base-pairing at the 3rd anti-codon position.
Source: RNAcentral
GCCCUUGUAGUAUAGUGGAUAGAACGUGAGGUUGCGGACCUUAAGGCCCGGGUUCGAUUCCCGGCAUGGGCA